CGAAAGCCUGACGGAGCAUUACCGCGUGAGGGAUGAAGGAUUUUGGUCUGUAAACCUCUUUUCUCUGAAAGAAGUUCUGACGGUACUUGAGGAAUAAGCAUCGGCUAACUCCGUGCCAGCAGCCGCGGUAAUACGGGGGAUGCAAGCGUUAUCCGGAAUCAUUGGGCGUAAAGCGCCUGUAGGUUGUUUAGUAAGUCUGUUGUUAAAGACCAGGGCUUAACCCUGGGAAAGCAAUGGAAACUACUAAACUUGAGUAUGGCAGGGGUAGAGGGAAUUUCUAGUGUAGCGGUGAAAUGCGUAGAUAUUACAAAGAACACCGGCGGCGAAUGCGCUCUACUGGACCAUUACUGACACUCAGAGGCGAAAGCUAGGGGAGCAAAAG
Molecule: ribosomal RNA, 382 nt
Filed under: uncultured cyanobacterium
Lineage: Bacteria; Bacillati; Cyanobacteriota
Description: bacterial SSU rRNA
Rfam family: Bacterial small subunit ribosomal RNA
Source: RNAcentral